Molecule: ribosomal RNA, 255 nt
Filed under: uncultured bacterium
Lineage: Bacteria
Description: partial 16S ribosomal RNA
Rfam family: Bacterial small subunit ribosomal RNA
Source: RNAcentral
AGCCAAGUCGUGAGGCGGAGCUAAUCCCUUAAAGCCAUUCUCAGUUCGGAUUGUAGGCUGAAACUCGCCUACAUGAAGCUGGAGUUACUAGUAAUCGCAGAUCAGAAUGCUGCGGUGAAUGCGUUCCCGGGUCUUGUACACACCGCCCGUCACACCACGGAAGUUGGGGGCGCCCGAAGCCACUUGGCUAACCCUUUUGGGAAGCGAGUGUCGAAGGUGAAAUCAAUAACUGGGGUGAAGUCGUAACAAGGUAGC